ACCAGACUCCUACGGGAGGCAGCAGUGGGGGAUAUUGCACAAUGGGGGGAACCCUGAUGCAGCGACGCCGCGUGGGUGAAGAAGCGCCUCGGCGCGUAAAGCCCUGUCAACAGGGAAGAAAAUGACGGUACCUGAAGAAGAAGCCCCGGCUAACUACGUGCCAGCAGCCGCGGUAAUACGUAGGGGGCAAGCGUUAUCCGGAUUUACUGGGUGUAAAGGGGGCGCAGACGGCGAUGCAAGCCAGGAGUGAAAGCCCGGGGCCCAACCCCGGGACUGCUCUUGGAAGUGCGUGGCUGGAGUGCAGGAGGGGCAGGCGGAAUUCCUGGUGUAGCGGUGAAAUGCGUAGAUAUCAGGAGGAACACCGGUGGCGAAGGCGGCCUGCUGGACUGCAACUGACGUUGAGGCCCGAAAGCGUGGGGAGCAAACAGGAUUAGAUACCCCAGUAA
This 446-nucleotide ribosomal RNA is filed under the name uncultured bacterium. RNAcentral describes it as "partial 16S ribosomal RNA". It matches the Rfam family "Bacterial small subunit ribosomal RNA", at positions 330 to 793 of the family's 1533-position model. The record is from RNAcentral.